This is a long non-coding RNA of Sabethes cyaneus, 709 nucleotides long. RefSeq lists it as uncharacterized. The record is from RefSeq and is a predicted model, not a curated record. NCBI's taxonomy places the organism in Eukaryota, Metazoa, Arthropoda, Insecta, Diptera, Culicidae. The transcript has 3 exons.
AUUGGAAAUCUAAUUUAAAAUUUCACUCUGCUGAUUUCAAAACCAUAUAAAAGUUAUACUUAAACUAAAAAGUUCUUACGUGUUAAUAUUUACAACCUAUUUACAAUUUAUGCUUCAUCUAAAGUCUAUUAAAGUUUUAAUUAAGUGAGUUAAACUUAAAUCUGAAAAUGUACAAUCUAUAUGUUAGAGUAAGGAUUUCUGCUCAAGAAAAAGCUAAUAGCUUACCCAGUCUAUAUUUUCUCAUACAUGUUGGAAUGAUCUAAGUCCUGUAAACAUUAGAAAGCGCACAAACGAAAAUUUUAAUCGCGUAACGCGAAAUAUACGAGGUUUAAAAUUUUGGAAAAACUGUUUUCUUAUUGCAUCCGCAACAGCCACUGUCUUCCACAAGCCAGUCCGCAUUUUCUCAUGUAUAAUUAGAUUGCAAAUAAGAGUUACGUACUGAUAUGUAUCCAACAAAAUCGUAUUCGACGCGCAAAAGCCGCUUAUCGGUACCAUUUUGGAAUAAUUUUGAGCGAUGCACUUAUAUAGGUAUUUUAAUACGAUAAAAUCCGAUUAAGCGCGACCAGCUACAUGCAGCUAUACAAUUUUGUGCUGAAAAUCGUAUAUUUGUCAGCUACUAGCAUUAUAAACGAUAGAAUAUCAACUUGUGCACACUUUAUUAGACUUUAUUUACGAAUGCGAAUUUGUUAAGAGAUAUUUAUGAUAAUUU